RNAcentral lists this long non-coding RNA (465 nucleotides) under Lynx pardinus (Iberian lynx). The record is from RNAcentral. Lineage: Eukaryota; Metazoa; Chordata; Mammalia; Carnivora; Felidae.
UUUCUCUUUAUAAUUAUUGCCCUGUUUGAAAAAUCAGCCCGCAUCUAGGGUGGCAAACACUGUGUAGAGGCCUUCCUUCUUCCUUCUCGGGAGCAGCAGUGGAUGGAACCACUGUAACCUGGCCUCCCGCCAUGAGAGGAGGGAAUCCAGGUGGCCAUGUUCAAAUGUGUCUGUGUGCAGCAAGGCUUCUGAAAUGACAGGAGAGCCCGGCGGCUUCCAAAGCAGCUGUGACUCUGGAUUGCGCCCACCAUCCCUGCUUCUCACCACAAGAGGAGUGAAUCUCUGCUGCCUUAGGAGGCAUGGAGCCUGGGACUUUAAUUCCUUUUUUAAUUUUUCAUUUUAUUUUUAAAACGCUUGAGUGGUGGAUGAUGAUUUCUUGACAAAAGAGAGAUUUCCCCCCUUUUAAAAUUGUUUUAACUCAGGCUCUUGUGUAAACUCAUGGGCUGGGAAUAAGACCAGAAUACC